This 73-nucleotide transfer RNA is filed under the name Cotesia glomerata. RNAcentral's name for it is "tRNA-Thr". It matches the Rfam family "tRNA". From Rfam's summary of the family: Transfer RNA (tRNA) molecules are approximately 80 nucleotides in length. Their secondary structure includes four short double-helical elements and three loops (D, anti-codon, and T loops). The record is from RNAcentral. Lineage: Eukaryota; Metazoa; Arthropoda; Insecta; Hymenoptera; Braconidae.
GUCUCGGAUAGCAUAACUGGAAGAGCCCUUGGCGCGUAACCGAGAGAUCUGGGUUCGAUUCCCAGUCUGGGCU